This 467-nucleotide ribosomal RNA is filed under the name uncultured bacterium. Its description in RNAcentral is "partial 16S ribosomal RNA". It matches the Rfam family "Bacterial small subunit ribosomal RNA", at positions 28 to 507 of the family's 1533-position model. The record is from RNAcentral.
GAUGAACGCUGGCGGCGUGCUUAACACAUGCAAGUCGAACGGUGAAGCAGAGCUUGCUCUGUGGAUCAGUGGCGAACGGGUGAGUAACACGUGAGCAACCUGCCCCUGACUCUGGGAUAAGCGCUGGAAACGGCGUCUAAUACUGGAUAUGAGCUGCGACCGCAUGGUCAGCAGUUGGAAAGAUUUUUCGGUCUGGGAUGGGCUCACGGCCUAUCAGCUUGUUGGUGAGGUAAUGGCUCACCAAGGCGUCGACGGGUAGCCGGCCUGAGAGGGUGACCGGCCACACUGGGACUGAGACACGGCCCAGACUCCUACGGGAGGCAGCAGUUGGGAAUAUUGCACAAUGGGCGAAAGCCUGAUGCAGCAACGCCGCGUGAGGGAUGACGGCCUUCGGGUUGUAAACCUCUUUUAGCAGGGAAGAAGCGAAAGCGACGGUACCUGCAGAAAAAGCGCCGGCUAACUACGUG